Molecule: ribosomal RNA, 481 nt
Filed under: uncultured bacterium
Lineage: Bacteria
Description: bacterial SSU rRNA
Rfam family: Bacterial small subunit ribosomal RNA
Source: RNAcentral
GAUGAACGCUGGCGGCGUGCCUAACACAUGCAAGUCGAACGUGCGGGAAUACUUGUAUUCCCAAAAGUGGCGAACGGGUGAGUAACACGUAGGUAACCUGCCGCGUAGUGGGGAAUAACGACUGGAAACGGUCGCUAAUACCGCAUGCGUCUCUGGAGACGGGCGUCUUUGGGGGCAAAGCUUAAUGCGCUACGCGAGGGGCCUGCGUCCGAUUAGCUAGUUGGUGAGGUAACGGCUCACCAAGGCUGUGAUCGGUAGCUGGUCUGAGAGGACGAUCAGCCACACGGGAACUGAGACACGGUUCCGACUCCUACGGGGGGCAGCAGUGAGGAAUAUUGCACAAUGGGGGCAACCCUGAUGCAGCAACGCCGCGUGGGGGAUGAAGGCCUUUGGGUCGUAAACCCCUUUUCUCGAGGAAGAGGAAGGACGGUACUCGAGGAAUCAGUCACGGCUAACUACGUGCCAGCCGCCGCAGUAAGAC